Molecule: ribosomal RNA, 3892 nt
Filed under: Triticum aestivum (bread wheat)
Lineage: Eukaryota; Viridiplantae; Streptophyta; Magnoliopsida; Poales; Poaceae
Description: partial small subunit ribosomal RNA
Source: RNAcentral
AAAGAAAAGAAAACCCCCAGCCACCCCGAAUCAGUCCCACUCCCGUGCGUGCUGGAUAGCUAGGGUUCCCCGCCACCCUCACCGGUCGCCGCCGCCCUCACCGGUCGCCGCCGCCGCCCUCACCGGUCGCCGCCGCCGUCGGUCUGCCCUACAUGGCCGGAGGAUAGGCCAUCCUGCCGGUCCAUUCCCGCCCCACCGCGAGGGAGGAGACCACCCCGGCGACCUCCCCCCGUCCCCACCGCCGCCGCCGCUCAUCCCGGUCCCGUCCUCCUCCCCCGCCUCGCCGCCUCGCCGCGGCGUCCGUCCACCGCCGGCCAGCGAAGUCCCGGGCUCCGAUUCGCGAAAAGGGGUGCUGAAGUUUGUUCCGGCGCCGUGGGAUGAGCGAGGAUGGCGCCUAGGGACAGCAAGGAGAUGCUGCAGCGGGCCGCCGAGUCCGCCAUCCGCUCCAUCGGCCUCGGCUACGACGUCGCCGCCUACGUCCGGCUCAAGUUCUGCAAGCAGCGCGGCUCGCCCGACCCCUCGCUCAUCGAGCUCGACCGCGAUGGGACCCAGGACAUCGUGCUCCCCGGCAGCCUCACCACCGUCGCCGGCGUGCCCAAGUCCAUCAAGUGCGACAAGGGGGAGCGGAUGCGGUUCCGGUCCGAUGUCCUGUCGUUCCAGCAGGUCAGGAGAGCAACAACGCACAUGCAGCACAGAUUUGUGCGUCUUCUCCAUGCAAUCUUGUUUACUUAAUCUUCAGCCUGGGCCAUCUCUGUCACCAACGCCUACAGCCUGGGUAUGAACCUCUCUUCUCUACUUCAUCUUUACUGAAUGUGCGUAUUCUCUGAACCACUUAUUCUUUGUCUACUGAAUUUUAGUGAAUGUGAGAUGUACUCCUGUAAACUGAGAUGUGCUUUUGUAAAGUGUGUUGUCAACUUGUGAAUUUUAGUGAAUGUGAGUGAAAGUUACUCCACAAUGUGAGUAAAAAUGUUGAGCUCCUCUCAUUCUUUUCCCCAAUUCAGUAUUGUUGUGUAGAAAUUGAUUCAAAAAUUCAGUACUCCUAGGCCAAGAGAGAGAUUAUGUUAAAAAUUCAGUUAAGCAGGCAUGGUAAAAUUGAGUUGGAAAAUCAAAAUAAGUGAAUGGAUACUGCUUGAGUUGGAAAAUCAGUGUAAAUCUACUGUAAAAAUUCAGUACUCCUACACUUAGAGAUUAUGUUAAAAAUUCAGUUAAGCAGGCAUGGUACUCUUAUUUUGGAGUAAAAAUUCAGUUUAAAAGUCAGUUAAAAGUCCAGUUUUAGAGCUUGGCUCCUGAUCUGACUAUAAAGUGUACUGCAAGCUUAUUGCUAGCAAGUUUAAAAUUCAGUAAACACAUGAUUCAAUGCACACUUAAUACACAUGACCUGCUUGUGCUUGUGACUGACUUGGACACAUGAUUCAGACACACAUGUAUUCAGACACACAUAGCAGGUCUGAAACUCCUAGGAAAUCAUUUGCAUAUUGUCAACCUACUGUGAAAUGAGUAAUAGCUGCAUCUUCCAGGAUAGUAUGUGGGCCUCCUAAUUAGUUGUAAACCAAAGCACUUAGACAUUUUCAAUCAUGAGUAAAUCAGAAACUAGUCUCAGCUUGAGUAUUGAUCUUGUGCAUUUUCCUUUCUUUUCAGUGAACUAGUCUCAGCUUGAGUCCUGGUCUACUGUAACUCUUCUUUAAAAUUGUUUAAUUGACAAAUCAUUUUAAAUGGUGUGCCCAGGUUUCAGUGAACUAGUCUCAGCUUGAAAUUUGGUUCAGUUAACUCCAUACAAGGGUCUCUUUUUGGUUAACAGUUUGGAGUAUAGAUUAACUGAAACCUGACAUUUUAACUGAAUUUUACCUUCUUCCUUAGGAACAUGAGCUCUGGCGGCAACACAAAGAAUUCAGUAAACACUAUUUUUGCAGAAUUGUUGUUGUCAGUUAACUGAAACUACAGCACAUUCCAAUCAAUUGGCUGCAGUAAAGAACUGAAGAGAUGGUAUGAUAACAACUGCUCUAUUUGUUCUAUCUAAUCUGUUCUUUUCUAUUUAAGAAAAAUAUAAGCAUGCAUUUACCAGUAGGCGAGAUCAUCUAGCUAAUUUGUAGUGUUAUUAUUGUCUAAAUAGGAACAUUUUACCUCAUUAAAAGUACAGCCAUCUCCAAAACUACAACACAUUUAGCUACUGAACAUUUACCUGGUGAGAUGUUUAGUCAUGCAUCCUAAUUUAGACGUUGUUGUGUGUUUAAGUAAUCUGUCAGAAGUGUUUAUUUCCACGCAUGCAUUAUCAAAUUGGUUGUGAGCCGUAAGGUGGAAUGCUUAGUAUUUUUUCUCAUACAGGAAACUUGCUCAGUUCAAUUAAUUCAGCUCCAAUGGCGGUAUCUGUAAGACAUGGAAGUGUGCAAUUUUUCUGUAUGUGCUCUCAUAUUUUUGCUCAUGCAUGCUUUUUUCAGUUAGUUUUUCCCACAUUUUGGAAAGAACCAUGCACAAAGGAAACAAACACUUCAUCUGAUGGUGUACCUUCUUAAGCUAGCAGUACUCUGAUGGAGUACCUUCUUCAGAGGGCAAAUAACACCAGCAGCAGCAGUCACGGCGGCAGUCAACAGCAACAACAGAGGAGCAGUAGCAUCAACACGAAUCAGCAACAGCAGCACAGGCAGAGGAGCAGUAGCAUCAACACGGGAAGAGGAGCAGGAGCAGCACGGGAGCUCCACCGGCGGCAGGGGAGAAAUAGAGGAGAAACAAGAUGCAGCAGCACGGGCUAGCACCACAGGCGGGCACGCAGGCAGAGAAGGAGCACCACGGCGGCGCGUGGGAGCUCGACGAGGACUCGCGGGAGACCAUGGAGGACGCGUGCGAGCUGCUGUCCACGACGGAUCGUGGAGGCCGGCUCCGGCAAUGCCCGUAGGAUCGCGGUGGCGCACGGGAGGCAGCUCAAGGUGGACUCGCGGGAGCACGAGGAGGACUCGCGGGAUCUCGAGUACGAUGAGAGGGAGCUCCUGCUCCACCAGAUCGUGGUGGCAAAUUCCAGUGACACCCGCAGGUAAUCGCCGCGGGAGGGGAUCGCGGCGGCGUAGGUCUGGGCGGCGGCGGCGGAGCAAGUACUUGGCGACGGCGGCGGAGCAAGUACUUGGCGACGGCGGCGACGUUGAAGGUAUGUGGUGACGGAGGCGGAACACUUCCUGGUGGGUGGCAAUCACGCAGCUUGGCGGCGCCGGCCCCUGGAGACGCACGGGCGACGGCGGAGGAAGACGACGGGGGUGGAGGGACUUGUUUGUGAUUGUUUUGAAACUACGAGGGCUUUUUUAUAAAAUUGGUAAUGAUCUACGCCUGCGACAUGUUUUUUUCGGGACGGAGGGAGUACUAAUUACAACACAUAUACUUAUUUUAAAGAAGAAAUUGUUCAACUAAGGUGUUUGCCACUUAAUAAUGCCGCAUCCUAUCUAUUCGGUGCCUAUAUGGAUGUACCUACACAAUAUCUUUAACAAUCCCAAUUACUGAAUAUUUUCAUUUCUUAUGAAAUAGCAUAUGUUGACCCGGAUAAUCAAGACUUAACCAUGCCUAAGUUACUCCAUUGAAGAUUGAACAAUAUCUUUAACCAUGAUCUAGUGUUGUUUAUUUUGCAGCAUAGGGAAGUUCUUUCUAUAGGACAGAAAUUUGUGGUGCAUAAUAAUCUUCUUCUUCUAGUCUUCUUCUUCUAACUUUCUUCUUUCCCAUUUUGUAGAUUUGCUUCAGAUCACGGAAGCUUGGGUUGAUGGAGUGCUUGUCUUUAGUUUUUGUUUUGACUUUGUGAAACUUGCUACCCAUGAUGAAACUGUGUAAUAUUGAUGAAACUAUGUAUAUGUAUGGAUGAAACUUGCUACUAUUGGUAACAUGUGUUGGAUAUGUGUUCAAUAUAUAUGUGUUCAUG